RNAcentral lists this ribosomal RNA (253 nucleotides) under uncultured bacterium. Its description in RNAcentral is "partial 16S ribosomal RNA". It matches the Rfam family "Bacterial small subunit ribosomal RNA", at positions 524 to 776 of the family's 1533-position model. The record is from RNAcentral.
UGCGUAGGGUGCGAGCGUUAAUCGGAAUUACUGGGCGUAAAGCGUGCGCAGGCGGUUCGUUAAGUCAGAUGUGAAAGCCCCGGGCUCAACCUGGGAACUGCAUUUGAAACUGGCGGGCUUGAGUGUGGCAGAGGGGGGUGGAAUUCCGCGUGUAGCAGUGAAAUGCGUAGAGAUGCGGAGGAACACCGAUGGCGAAGGCAGCCCCCUGGGCCAACACUGACGCUCAGGCACGAAAGCGUGGGGAGCAAACAGG